Molecule: ribosomal RNA, 720 nt
Filed under: uncultured bacterium
Lineage: Bacteria
Description: bacterial SSU rRNA
Rfam family: Bacterial small subunit ribosomal RNA
Source: RNAcentral
AGUCGUACGCACUGGCCCAAUUGAUUGAUGGUGCUUGCACCUGAUUGACGAUGGAUCACCAGUGAGUGGCGGACGGGUGAGUAACACGUAGGUAACCUGCCCCGGAGCGGGGGAUAACAUUUGGAAACAGAUGAUAAUACCGCAUAACAACAAAAGUCACAUGGCUUUUGUUUGAAAGAUGGCUUUGGCUAUCACUCUGGGAUGGACCUGCGGUGCAUUAGCUAGUUGGUAAGGUAACGGCUUACCAAGGCGAUGAUGCAUAGCCGAGUUGAGAGACUGAUCGGCCACAAUGGAACUGAGACACGGUCCAUACUCCUACGGGAGGCAGCAGUAGGGAAUCUUCCACAAUGGGCGCAAGCCUGAUGGAGCAACACCGCGUGAGUGAAGAAGGGUUUCGGCUCGUAAAGCUCUGUUGUUGGAGAAGAACGUGCGUGAGAGUAACUGUUCACGCAGUGACGGUAUCCAACCAGAAAGUCACGGCUAACUACGUGCCAGCAGCCGCGGUAAUACGUAGGUGGCAAGCGUUAUCCGGAUUUAUUGGGCGUAAAGGGAACGCAGGCGGUCUUUUAAGUCUGAUGUGAAAGCCUUCGGCUUAACCGGAGUAGUGCAUUGGAAACUGGGAGACUUGAGUGCAGAAGAGGAGAGUGGAACUCCAUGUGUAGCGGUGAAAUGCGUAGAUAUAUGGAAGAACACCAGUGGCGAAAGCGGCUCUCUGGUCUG